This 495-nucleotide ribosomal RNA is filed under the name uncultured bacterium. RNAcentral describes it as "partial 16S ribosomal RNA". It matches the Rfam family "Bacterial small subunit ribosomal RNA", at positions 28 to 523 of the family's 1533-position model. The record is from RNAcentral.
GAUGAACGCUAGCGGGAGUCCUAACACAUGCAAGCCGAGCGGUAUUUCUUCUUCGGGAGAGAGAGAGCGGCGUACGGGUGCGGAACACGUGUGCAACCUGCCUUUAUCUAGAGGUUAGCCUUUCGAAAGGAAGAUUAAUACUCUAUAAUAUAUUAAUUGGCAUCAAUUGAUAUUGAAAACUCCGGUGGAUAGAGAUGGGCACGCGCAAGAUUAGCUAGUUGGUGAGGUAACGGCUCACCAAGGCAAUGAUCUUUAGGGGGCCUUAGAGGGUGAUGCCGCACACUGGUACUGAGACACGGACCAGAAUCCUACGGGAGGCAGCAGUGAGGAAUAUUGGACAAUGGGUGCAAGCCUGAACCAGCCAUCCCGCGUGAAGGAUUAAGGUCCUAUGAAUUGUAAACUUCUUUUGUAUAGGGAUAAACCUACCCUCGUGAGGGUAGCUGAAGGUACUAUACGAAUAAGCACCGGCUAACUCCGUGCCAGAAGCCGCGGUAA